This 453-nucleotide ribosomal RNA is filed under the name uncultured bacterium. Its description in RNAcentral is "bacterial SSU rRNA". It matches the Rfam family "Bacterial small subunit ribosomal RNA", at positions 30 to 496 of the family's 1533-position model. The record is from RNAcentral.
AUUGAACGCUGGCGGUAUGCUUAAGACAUGCAAGUCGAACGGUAACAGGUUAAGCUGACGAGUGGCGGACGAGUGAGUAACGCGUGGGAAUCUACCUUGUAGUGGGGGAUAAGCCAGGGAAACUUGGACUAAUACCGCAUACGCCCUAAGGGGGAAAGCGCAAGUCGCUAUAAGAUGAGCCCGCGUCUGAUUAGGUAGUUGGUGGGGUAAAGGCCUACCAAGCCGACGAUCAGUAGCUGGUCUGAGAGGAUGAUCAGCCACGUCGGGACUGAGACACGGCCCGGACUCCUACGGGAGGCAGCAGUCGGGAAUAUUGGACAAUGGGGGCAACCCUGAUCCAGCCAUGCCGCGUGAGUGAAGAAGGCCCUCGGGUUGUAAAGCUCUUUUGUCCGGAAAGAAAAGCAAUCGGUUAAUACCCGGUUGUUCUGACGGUACCGGAAGAAUAAGCACCGG